CUCCAUUUUCAAGAGGAGACACAUUCUCAUUUAUACAUGGCAUCAGAGUGACCACAUUAUUGGAUAGAUUCAAACUUUGAAACACCAGGCAGUGUCACCUAUUAGUUGUUCGGAAUUGCAGAGGUACUGCUUACUCAUAUGACAAAAAGAGUUCCCAGUACUGAUGUUAGUCUAAACCCUAUACCAGGAAUACAAGUUGAAAUGUUCCAUUUAGACUAUCAGUCUUGGCCAUUAAAUUUUGUAAGUGUGCUAGGCAAAAUGGAGAAUCCUCUUCCUAGUGCUGGAAUCUCCUAAACUGUGAAUUUCUCUAUAACUGUUCUUUCAAAAGUAACUUGGAAAUAAUGCUGAACUUUCAAAUCAUCAGAAGAACCCAAGUCCUUACCCAUAAUUUCACCUUCAAAACAAGUUUGAACUUCAAAUACGUAAGUUUCAAAAUUGAAAUUAGCUCAAAAAUUCUCCAGAUUAAAAAUGUGACACUCAUACACACACGCGCGUGCACACACACACACACCCUCCCAACCUAACUUUGGGGAGGUUCAGAAGCGAGGGAUUGGAAAACUGCUUUCAUUCCCCUUUAACUCCUGAAAAUAAUUAAUCAUGCAAGUCUGUACAUCAAAAUGGUUGCUAAAUUAAUCCCCUUAUUCUAAGUCUUGCCUCUCUGAGGAUUUCAUCAUAGGAUGACAGAAUAUUUGUUUUAACAAGAGAAAAGUGAGAAAUAACUUAAAAUGGGGGAGAAAAGCUCCCUAAUUUGGAAAAAGAAUGUCAGGUAUAAGUUGGUAAUGAUCAGCAGUCAGCUGUAGAGCUUGACAGACACUUAGCUGAGCCAAUCCUCAGUCCUUCCAUUGGCCCUUGUGACUGUAUCCUAACCCAUUUUCCCCCAUAGCAUUUCUUUUCCCCACGAUCGUCCCAUAGAAUUCACCUAUAGAUCUGAAUUCUCUCUCGCCAUGCUAAGAUUAUCUUUCUUACUACCAAUUCUUUCUAGGCUUCAUGAUUUCUUUCCUAUCGUCUUCUGAUUCAACUUUGGGACAACCCAGCACUCUGGAAUCUUUGCUGCAACUUCUCCAAUGGACAGAUGUUCCUUUCCAUCCUCUUAACAAGCUGUCCACCCUAGAAAAUCGGAACAAGUGGUUGCUGGCAAGCAAAGCAUAUGAUGGUGUCCUGGUUGUGUUCAGAUGGCUCAGAAGAUGUAUUUGGUUCAAGAUUGGAUGGGGAGUGGCAGACCUCCACUUUGGCCAGUGAGGUGAGUGGCUGUGGCAGACUGAUUGAUGGGUCCAAACCCUUCUGAUCAGACUUAUCCUUGAGGUGGUGGAAGUCUUGAAUAGGAAAUCAAGGAAUCAAGAUCUCAGAGGCUAAGCUCUGCGCCUUACUUACAGGGAUCUUAACCUGUUGUCCUGACAUUUCCAAACAAGGAGCAUUUACUAAACAAGAAUGGCAUUUCCUCAGGCAGACUAUGAAACAAAGUGAGUCAAAAGGACGCCGAAUGUUAGCCGCCAUUGAGGUCCCAUGCACUCUAGUGAGGAUACUGCACAAACUGUGGAGAGAUGAGCUGUUACUCAGCUGCAGACCCCACCUUUCACUGCUUCUACUCACUCUUCUUUCCCCUUGAAUCAGAUGCCCCAAGAGAAACACCCCUUCUUUAAUGGUACAGAUAUCAAGAACUAGCCCAUGGCUUGGGGCAAACCUCCUGCCCCAACCCCUUCUUUCUGGGCCCUGUCCUCACCUCUGUUAAAUGAUAGCUAAACCUCAGCAUGUAGGCAUGCCUGUUUGUGCAUCUAUCAGCCUGUGUGUCUGACUUUUGUGCUUUUUAACCUGUUGAAGCCUGGGGAAAUACAACCCCCAGUGUGCACCAGCAGGACCACCCAUUUGAGUCCUAGUUUGGGAUUGUUUUGAAUUGGACCCAUUCUGUGAUAAAGGAGGGACAAUGGCCAGGAACUCUCCUUAGCACGGAAUUAAUACUUUUCAAAACCAAUCCCAAUAAAGGAAAUAUUGGACAUCA
Molecule: long non-coding RNA, 1996 nt
Filed under: Monodelphis domestica (gray short-tailed opossum)
Lineage: Eukaryota; Metazoa; Chordata; Mammalia; Didelphimorphia; Didelphidae
Description: lncRNA (ENSMODG00000037306.1)
Source: RNAcentral